This 86-nucleotide transfer RNA is filed under the name Cyanobacteria bacterium M5B4. RNAcentral describes it as "tRNA-Tyr". It matches the Rfam family "tRNA". From Rfam's summary of the family: Transfer RNA (tRNA) molecules are approximately 80 nucleotides in length. Their secondary structure includes four short double-helical elements and three loops (D, anti-codon, and T loops). RNAcentral also lists the same sequence under 3 other names. The record is from RNAcentral. Lineage: Bacteria; Bacillati; Cyanobacteriota.
GGGUCGGUGCCCGAGUGGUUAAUGGGGGCGGACUGUAAAUCCGCUGGUUUUCGCCUACGCUAGUUCGAAUCUAGCCCGGCCCACCA